ACUAAGUGAAGUUCAUUUACCAGGUUGAGGUAAAAAUCUUGCAUGUUUUAUUUUUUUCCUAAGCAAUGUUGUCCUUGAAACAAGAGGGCAAUCAAGUUUUCCAUUAUAUUUAAUUUAGAAAAGUGAAGAUGUUUAAACAACUUUCUUUUUUCCUAUUCUGGGAUAGCACAGAAAAUAAACUAUGUUCAAGCUUUUCUGUUUGUUUCAACAGAAUAAUAUAUACUGACGAUGCUGCAGUUCGGUGCCCAAGCACAGCAAGGAGUGCCUUUGCCUUCCCCAGCUUGAAGCAGCAACUCUGAGCCAUGCAAAACCAGGCCACUGCACAACACUGGGUCAUGCAGCCAGUGACUGUAAGAGUUGUCUUAGUGUGAAAAAUCAGGCCCAGGGAUUCAGUGCUAAGGUAUAUAAAUGGCAUUCUUUAUUUAUUUGGGCUGUUACGCAUGCCUUAGUCAGGCAGCUGUAAAUAAGGUUUUAUCUUGCUGCUUUCAGGCUGUCGUCCUGGAGGAGCAGCUCAGGACUGUGGGAAUUCCUGGGCUGUUUGUUCACUCAUGAUUUUGGAAAGGCAAAUUCUGUAACUUCAGGAGCUGUCUUCCUCAUGUUUAACCCAUGCCUUCAGAUCAUGGGAGGGAGAGUCUGCUUCCACUGAAAUCCACUCCUUGCUGGGUGAGGACAUGAUGUUCCUGUCAGGAGACAAAAUAGAGGAUGAUACCAGAUCUUUCAUUUCAAUGCCUGAGUUUGUUGCUGUUUAUUAAAGAGGACCACCUGACUGCAUGUUUUGUGCACCAGGUGCACAUCAUUCAGCAGUGCUGCCGUCUGUUUCACUCAAAGCACUAUUUCAGAAAGUUAAGUAUGCAGUAAAAGAAGCCUUCAUCUUAUCGGCUCAGAUUCAUGGAAAGGGAAGAAGUGAGGAGAGAUCACUUGGAACACUGGGGAACUCAUUUUUUCUCCCAGGAUGAACUGAAAAUCUUGCUUGGUACCACUCAAGAUGCAUGCAGAAAAAUCUGGGGUGUGAAACGCAUAACAAAUCCCCACCAUCCCUGCAAGAGAAAUGAUAAAAAGCCCUUCUCCUCGAAGGGAGCAGCGUAAAAUUGGCCAUAAAGUAUGUAGAUGGUUUGUGGUGGUGCAGACUGUGUACAAACACGAGGAGGUGCCUUCCUGCAACAUCAAUACCGAUGUUUUUCAGGCACCCCCCUCAUGAGGUGAUUUGCAAGCAGCUCCUUCAGCUCUUCGUUACUCUGCGGUGCUGCGGGAUCUAUCUUUGUCCUCUCGAGGAUGCUUUCUGCUGCCCCUCGCCGAGCACAGCAGAUAGCUUGAGAAGCCACAAAGCGUGCUCCUGGG
RNAcentral lists this long non-coding RNA (1338 nucleotides) under Gallus gallus (chicken). RNAcentral describes it as "lncRNA (ENSGALG00010021303.1)". Lineage: Eukaryota; Metazoa; Chordata; Aves; Galliformes; Phasianidae. The record is from RNAcentral.